GGUGUGGUAACUCAGUUGGUAGAGUGGCAGACUGAAAAUCUGCUGGUCGCCGGUUCAAGUCCGGCCCGCACCA
RNAcentral lists this transfer RNA (73 nucleotides) under Flavisolibacter sp. RNAcentral's name for it is "tRNA-Phe". It matches the Rfam family "tRNA". From Rfam's summary of the family: Transfer RNA (tRNA) molecules are approximately 80 nucleotides in length. Their secondary structure includes four short double-helical elements and three loops (D, anti-codon, and T loops). Further hydrogen bonds mediate the characteristic L-shaped molecular structure. tRNAs have two regions of fundamental functional importance: the anti-codon, which is responsible for specific mRNA codon recognition, and the 3' end, to which the tRNAs corresponding amino acid is attached (by aminoacyl-tRNA synthetases). tRNAs cope with the degeneracy of the genetic code in two manners: having more than one tRNA (with a specific anti-codon) for a particular amino acid; and 'wobble' base-pairing, i.e. permitting non-standard base-pairing at the 3rd anti-codon position. Lineage: Bacteria; Pseudomonadati; Bacteroidota; Chitinophagia; Chitinophagales; Chitinophagaceae. The record is from RNAcentral.